AUGCACGCUGGCGGCGUGCUUAACACAUGCAAGUCGAACGAGAAGUGAAGACGGAAACCUUCGGGCGGAAGGCUUUAUUUCGAGUGGCGGACGGGUGAGUAACGCGUGGGUAACCUGCCUCAUACAGGGGGAUAACAGUUGGAAACGACUGUUAAUACCGCAUAAGACCACAGCACCGCAUGGUGCGGGGGUAAAAACUCCGGUGGUAUGAGAUGGACCCGCGUUCGAUUAGCCAGUUGGCGGGGUAACGGCCCACCAAAGCGACGAUCGAUAGCCGAUCUGAGAGGAUGACCGGCCACAUUGGGACUGAGACACGGCCCAAACUCCUACGGGAGGCAGCAGUGGGGAAUAUUGCACAAUGGGGGAAACCCUGAUGCAGCGACGCCGCGUGAGUGAAGAAGUAUUUCGGUAUGUAAAGCUCUAUCAGCAGGGAAGAAAAUGACGGUACCUGAGUAAGAAGCCCCGGCUAACUACGUG
This 477-nucleotide ribosomal RNA is filed under the name uncultured bacterium. RNAcentral's name for it is "partial 16S ribosomal RNA". It matches the Rfam family "Bacterial small subunit ribosomal RNA", at positions 29 to 507 of the family's 1533-position model. The record is from RNAcentral.